RNAcentral lists this unclassified non-coding RNA (218 nucleotides) under uncultured Inocybe. Its description in RNAcentral is "sequence contains ITS2". Lineage: Eukaryota; Fungi; Basidiomycota; Agaricomycetes; Agaricales; Cortinariaceae. The record is from RNAcentral.
AAUUUCUCAACCACACAACAUUGCAUGUGAUGUGUGGCUUGGAUGGUGGGGGUUGCAGGCUCUCUUGUGUGAAAAGAGAGUCAGCUCUCCUGAAAUUUAUUAGUGGUAUCUGAGCUGCUUAUCCCUAUAAGGUGUGAUAAAUUAUCUAUGCCUUUGGUUUGCUGCAUGAACAGAUUGCACUGCUUCUAAUCAGUUGGAUGAAAAACCAUAUUUGACGA